GGGGGCGUUUGGUUUCGACGGGGGUAGCAGGGAUAAGAGCUGCAGGUCGAGCUUCCGACUCGUAAAUCCGGAAACGCGUAUAUAAACGCCAAAAACGAUUACGCUUACGCAGCUUAAUUAAGCUUGCGCAUCCUCCCCAGUGGUGCCCGGCUGUUGGGAACAAGGGUGUCAUAAAACCGGGAUUUUCCGUUAGUGUUGCUUUGGCACUAUAGGAGAAACUAACAAAGCUGGCCUCGCUUUAAUCUAGCCCUCAAGAGCAAAGCAGGUAAGAUCUAAACUGAGGGAUAAACCUGUAGACGCUUUUAUUGAUGUACCUUCGGACAGGGGUUCGAGUCCCCUCGCCUCCACCA
This 350-nucleotide transfer-messenger RNA is filed under the name Thermoanaerobacterales bacterium. It matches the Rfam family "transfer-messenger RNA". From Rfam's summary of the family: Bacterial tmRNA, also known as 10Sa RNA or SsrA, is named for its dual tRNA and mRNA-like properties. Its role is to liberate the mRNA from a stalled ribosome. The record is from RNAcentral. Lineage: Bacteria; Bacillati; Bacillota; Clostridia; Thermoanaerobacterales.